Molecule: ribosomal RNA, 162 nt
Filed under: Escherichia coli
Lineage: Bacteria; Pseudomonadati; Pseudomonadota; Gammaproteobacteria; Enterobacterales; Enterobacteriaceae
Description: partial 23S ribosomal RNA
Rfam family: Bacterial large subunit ribosomal RNA
Source: RNAcentral
GGGUUGUGAGGUUAAGCGACUAAGCGUACACGGUGGAUGCCCUGGCAGUCAGAGGCGAUGAAGGACGUGCUAAUCUGCGAUAAGCGUCGGUAAGGUGAUAUGAACCGUUAUAACCGGCGAUUUCCGAAUGGGGAAACCCAGUGUGAUUCGUCACACUAUCAU